AUUGAACGCUGGCGGCAGGCCUAACACAUGCAAGUCGAGCGGUAGAGAGAAGCUUGCUUCUCUUGAGAGCGGCGGACGGGUGAGUAAUGCCUAGGAAUCUGCCUGGAAGUGGGGGAUAACGUUCGGAAACGGACGCUAAUACCGCAUACGUCCUACGGGAGAAAGCAGGGGACCUUCGGGCCUUGCGCUAUCAGAUGAGCCUAGGUCGGAUUAGCUAGUUGGUGGGGUAAUGGCUCACCAAGGCGACGAUCCGUAACUGGUCUGAGAGGAUGAUCAGUCACACUGGAACUGAGACACGGUCCAGACUCCUACGGGAGGCAGCAGUGGGGAAUAUUGGACAAUGGGCGAAAGCCUGAUCCAGCCAUGCCGCGUGUGUGAAGAAGGUCUUCGGAUUGUAAAGCACUUUAAGUUGGGAGGAAGGGCAGUAAAUUAAUACUUUGCUGUUUUGACGUUACCGACAGAAUAAGCACCGGCUAACUCUGUG
RNAcentral lists this ribosomal RNA (484 nucleotides) under uncultured bacterium. RNAcentral's name for it is "partial 16S ribosomal RNA". It matches the Rfam family "Bacterial small subunit ribosomal RNA", at positions 30 to 507 of the family's 1533-position model. The record is from RNAcentral.